This 301-nucleotide ribosomal RNA is filed under the name uncultured bacterium. RNAcentral describes it as "partial 16S ribosomal RNA". It matches the Rfam family "Bacterial small subunit ribosomal RNA", at positions 509 to 807 of the family's 1533-position model. The record is from RNAcentral.
CAGUCGCCGCGGGAAUACGAAGGGGGCUAGUGUUGUUCGGAUUUACUGGGCGUAAAGCGCACGUAGGCGGAUCGAUCAGUCAGGGGUGAAAUCCCAGAGCUCAACUCUGGAACUGCCUUUGAUACUGUCGAUCUGGAGUAUGGAAGAGGUGAGUGGAAUUUCCGGUGUAGCGGUGAAAUGCGUAGAUAUCGGAAGGAACACCUGUGGCGAAAGCGGCUCACUGGACCAUUUCUGACGCUGAUGCACGAAAGCUAGGGGAGCAAACAGGAUUAGAUACCCCCGUAGUCCCUGUCUCUUAUAC